Molecule: small RNA, 52 nt
Filed under: Caenorhabditis elegans
Lineage: Eukaryota; Metazoa; Nematoda; Chromadorea; Rhabditida; Rhabditidae
Description: Unclassified non-coding RNA B0507.13
Source: RNAcentral
GAAUUGAUACAUAAAAUAUGAGCUAGUGCGCAUUUAGAAUGAAUCGAAUUUC